This 458-nucleotide ribosomal RNA is filed under the name Firmicutes bacterium SCGC AAA041-N22. RNAcentral describes it as "bacterial SSU rRNA". It matches the Rfam family "Bacterial small subunit ribosomal RNA", at positions 348 to 798 of the family's 1533-position model. The record is from RNAcentral. Lineage: Bacteria; Bacillati; Bacillota.
GCAGCAGUAGGGAAUCUUCGGCAAUGGANGAAAGUCUGACCGAGCAACGCCGCGUGAGUGAAGAAGGUUUUCGGAUCGUAAAACUCUGUUGGUAGAGAAGAACGUUGGUGAGAGUGGAAAGCUCAUCAAGUGACGGUAACUACCCAGAAAGGGACGGCUAACUACGUGCCAGCAGCCGCGGUAAUACGUAGGUCCCGAGCGUUGUCCGGAUUUAUUGGGCGUAAAGCGAGCGCAGGUGGUUUAUUAAGUCUGGUGUAAAAGGCAGUGGCUCANCCAUUGUAUGCAUUGGAAACUGGUAGACUUGAGUGCAGGAGAGGAGAGUGGAAUUCCAUGUGUAGCGGUGAAAUGCGUAGAUAUAUGGAGGAACACCGGUGGCGAAAGCGGCUCUCUGGCCCGUAACUGACACUNAGGCUCGAAAGCGUGGGGAGCAAACAGGAUUAGAUACCCCCGUAGUCCGG